Molecule: transfer RNA, 58 nt
Filed under: Danio rerio (zebrafish)
Lineage: Eukaryota; Metazoa; Chordata; Actinopteri; Cypriniformes; Danionidae
Rfam family: tRNA
About the family: Transfer RNA (tRNA) molecules are approximately 80 nucleotides in length.
Source: Rfam by way of RNAcentral
UAGCUCAGUCGAUAGAGUAUGAGACUCUUAAUCUCAGCGUCGUGGGUUAGAGCCCCAC